Molecule: transfer RNA, 86 nt
Filed under: Thermoprotei archaeon
Lineage: Archaea; Thermoproteati; Thermoproteota; Thermoprotei
Description: tRNA-Ser
Rfam family: tRNA
About the family: Transfer RNA (tRNA) molecules are approximately 80 nucleotides in length. Their secondary structure includes four short double-helical elements and three loops (D, anti-codon, and T loops).
Source: RNAcentral
GCGGGGGUGGCCGAGCCAGGUCAAAGAGCUUAGCUCGGCUACGGCUGUCCCGUAGGGGUUCGUGGGUUCAAAUCCCACCCCCCGCA